UGCCAGACUCCUACGGGAGGCAGCAGUGAGGAAUAUUGGUCAAUGGGCGGGAGCCUGAACCAGCCAAGCCGCGUGAAGGAAGAAGGCGCCAAGCGUCGUAAACUUCUUUUGUCGGGGAACAAAGGGCGCCACGUGUGGCGUUGUGAGUGUACCCGAAGAAAAAGCAUCGGCUAACUCCGUGCCAGCAGCCGCGGUAAUACGGAGGAUGCGAGCGUUAUCCGGAUUUAUUGGGUUUAAAGGGUGCGUAGGCGGUCCGGAAAGUCAGCGGUAAAAGCCCGGGGCUCAACCCCGGCGAGCCGUCGGAACUGCCGGGCUAGAGUGGGCGAGAAGUGCGCGGAAUGCGUGGUGUAGCGGUGAAAUGCAUAGAUAUCACGCAGAACUCCGAUUGCGAAGGCAGCGCACCGGCGCCCUACUGACGCUCAGGCACGAAAGCGUGGGUAUCGAACAGGAUUAGAUACCCUGGUAUG
This 467-nucleotide ribosomal RNA is filed under the name uncultured bacterium. Its description in RNAcentral is "bacterial SSU rRNA". It matches the Rfam family "Bacterial small subunit ribosomal RNA", at positions 329 to 794 of the family's 1533-position model. The record is from RNAcentral.